GAUGAACGCUGGCGGCGUGCCUAAUACAUGCAAGUCGAGCGAACGGACGAGAAGCUUGCUUCUCUGAUGUUAGCGGCGGACGGGUGAGUAACACGUGGAUAACCUACCUAUAAGACUGGGAUAACUUCGGGAAACCGGAGCUAAUACCGGAUAAUAUUUUGAACCGCAUGGUUCAAAAGUGAAAGACGGUCUUGCUGUCACUUAUAGAUGGAUCCGCGCUGCAUUAGCUAGUUGGUAAGGUAACGGCUUACCAAGGCAACGAUGCAUAGCCGACCUGAGAGGGUGAUCGGCCACACUGGAACUGAGACACGGUCCAGACUCCUACGGGAGGCAGCAGUAGGGAAUCUUCCGCAAUGGGCGAAAGCCUGACGGAGCAACGCCGCGUGAGUGAUGAAGGUCUUCGGAUCGUAAAACUCUGUUAUUAGGGAAGAACAUAUGUGUAAGUAACUGUGCACAUCUUGACGGUACCUAAUCAGAAAGCCACGGCUAACUACGUGCCAGCAGCCGCGGUAAUACGUAGGUGGCAAGCGUUAUCCGGAAUUAUUGGGCGUAAAGCGCGCGUAGGCGGUUUUUUAAGUCUGAUGUGAAAGCCCACGGCUCAACCGUGGAGGGUCAUUGGAAACUGGAGAACUUGAGUGCAGAAGAGGAAAGUGGAAUUCCAUGUGUAGCGGUGAAAUGCGCAGAGAUAUGGAGGAACACCAGUGGCGAAGGCGACUUUCUGGUCUGUAACUGACGCUGAUGUGCGAAAGCGUGGGGAUCAAACAGGAUUAGAUACCCUGGUAGUCCACGCCGUAAUCGAUGAGUGCUAAGUGUUAGGGGGUUUCCGCCCCUUAGUGCUGCAGCUAACGCAUUAAGCACUCCGCCUGGGGAGUACGACCGCAAGGUUGAAACUCAAAGGAAUUGACGGGGACCCGCACAAGCGGUGGAGCAUGUGGUUUAAUUCGAAGCAACGCGAAGAACCUUACCAAAUCUUGACAUCCUUUGACAACUCUAGAGAUAGAGCCUUCCCCUUCGGGGGACAAAGUGACAGGUGGUGCAUGGUUGUCGUCAGCUCGUGUCGUGAGAUGUUGGGUUAAGUCCCGCAACGAGCGCAACCCUUAAGCUUAGUUGCCAUCAUUAAGUUGGGCACUCUAAGUUGACUGCCGGUGACAAACCGGAGGAAGGUGGGGAUGACGUCAAAUCAUCAUGCCCCUUAUGAUUUGGGCUACACACGUGCUACAAUGGACAAUACAAAGGGCAGCGAAACCGCGAGGUCAAGCAAAUCCCAUAAAGUUGUUCUCAGUUCGGAUUGUAGUCUGCAACUCGACUACAUGAAGCUGGAAUCGCUAGUAAUCGUAGAUCAGCAUGCUACGGUGAAUACGUUCCCGGGUCU
RNAcentral lists this ribosomal RNA (1372 nucleotides) under uncultured bacterium. RNAcentral describes it as "bacterial SSU rRNA". It matches the Rfam family "Bacterial small subunit ribosomal RNA", at positions 28 to 1381 of the family's 1533-position model. The record is from RNAcentral.